GGUUAGCAUUUUAUAUCAUACCCCCAAGACAUGCUAACCUCUCACCAUUACAAUAACAGGCGAGGUUAGCAUUUUAUAUCAUACCCCCAAGACAUGCUAACCUCUCACCAUUACAAUAACAGGGGAGGUUAGCAUUUUAUAUCAUACCCCCAAGACAUGCUAACCUCUCACCAUUACAAUAACAGGCGAGGUUAGCAUUUUAUAUCAUACCCCCAAGACAUGCUAACCUCUCACCAUUACAAUAACAGGGGAGGUUAGCAUUUUAUAUCAUACCCCCAAGACAUGCUAACCUCUCACCAUUACAAUAACAGGCGAGGUUAGCAUUUUAUAUCAUACCCCCAAGACAUGCUAACCUCUCACCAUUACAAUAACAGGCGAGGUUAGCAUUUUAUAUCAUACCCC
This is a long non-coding RNA of Oncorhynchus keta (chum salmon), 402 nucleotides long. RefSeq lists it as uncharacterized. The record is from RefSeq and is a predicted model, not a curated record. Lineage: Eukaryota; Metazoa; Chordata; Actinopteri; Salmoniformes; Salmonidae. The transcript is spliced from 3 exons.